CAUUUGAAAGGUAGAAUGACAGAGAGGGAGGGAGAGACAGAGAUAGAAAGAGAUCUUCCAUUUGCUGGUUCACUCCUCAGGUGUCUGCAACAGCCAGGACUGAGCCUGGCUGAAGCCAGGAGUCAAGAACUCCAUCCUGGUUUCACACUUGCUUGGCAGGGGCUCAAACAUUUGGGCCAUCAUCCACUACCUUCCCAGACGCAUCAGCAGGGGGAGCUAAAUGGAAAGCAGAAUAGCCGGGACUUGAACCUGAACUCUGAUCUGGGAUGUUGGCAUGGCAGGUGGCAGCUUAACCUACGGCCCCACAGCACGGGCCCCAUCAUCUGUUUUCUUGAACGUCUUUGCUGCAGUUACGUUAAAGAUUAUUUCUUUUUUUAUUUUAUUAUUAUUUUUUUGACAAAUAGAGUUAGACAGUGAGAGAGAGAGACAGAGAGAAAGGUCUUCCUUCCGUUGGUUCACCCCCCCAAUGGCCGCCACGGCCGGCGCGCUGCGCUGAUCCAAAGCCAGGAGCCAGGUGCUUCCUCUUGGUCUCCCAUGCGGGUGCAGGGCCCAAGCACUUGGGCCAUCCUCCACUGCCUUCCCGGGCCACAGCAGAGAGCUGGACUGGAAGAGGAGCAACUGGGACUAGAACCCGGUGCCCAUAUGGGAUGCCGGUACUGCAGGCGGAGGAUUAAUCAAGUGAGCCACUGUGCCAGCCCCUAAAGAUUAUUUCUGAGACCAAUUUUGGGAUUAUCUGGUGAGUUACCAGUUUUUUUCUUAGUUUUCCGUUUUGGGUUCUGUUUCCUGGAAAAAUCUGUGGCAGAACCGUCUGUAAAGCAUUGUGGCAGUCCUGGGCGAUGCAUCUCCCCCCAGAGGUGCUCUGGGUUCAUGAUGGCAGAUAAUGAGGGUCAAGGUGAUCUCCUUGGUACAAACAAGGUCUGAAAUGAUUCGAGUUUGCGGUUCAGGCUUUAUGAGCUCCUGCUGCUGUCUGCAGUUACUGUCCUGCUUUCAGCCUUCAGGGGUGAGCAAAGCCCUGGGGAAUUUACUGAGGCGCCCCCUCACUGGGCAGCCCUGAGCCGCAGUUUUUGUCCCCCGGGGUCAUUGUGAUGCUGCAGAAAUGUGUGCGGGCAGCAUCCUGUGCUGGCUCCCGGGCGCCUCACGCGUGCACUCCGCUUAAGAAUCCGCCAAGCCUCGAGAGGAAAUGGAGCAUUGCCCGUCGGCUUGGCUUCUUUAUGUUCCCCCUUUUCCCAGAAAUUUGGCCUCUUAGGUCCCGGUUUCCUUGGUUACGGUGCAUUCUGAUUCUCCUCUCUCACAGCCCAGCGAGGCAGUCGCGAGCUCCAGGCUGGGGCUUUCUGCUCCGGCUUCCUGUCCUUGGUUGUAAGACAGAAAAAUCCCCCGAAGAGAAGAGGCGGCUGCGGACGCACGGCUCCUCGCGGUGCGUGCCCCUGCCUCCCAGUACUGGCCCCGCAGAGCCUGGCUGCCUCAGUUGCUCUGAAGUCCUGAGAGAUCUUUGUAGAAUUUGAAGUGCUGAAAACCAUUGCGACUUACAGAAGAGUUGUAAAACCUGAGCAGAGGGCUGGCGGUCGCCCCUCACUCAUCUCUCCCUCUUGCUAACAACUUGCAAAUAACCUGUAUUGUUGGUACUUGAAGUGAGGUUUGCUGUUUUUUUGUUUUGUUUUGUUUUUUUUGUUUUGUUUUGUUUUGUUUUUGAGCUGAUAAAAGCAGAGAGUGGCUGUUAACUGGUGGAAUGAACAGAUGAAGGAACUGGUACAGAAGGCGACAUUUUUGGUGCAGGGCUUCCCAAAGGGUGGUCCCCAGACCCCUGCUGCCUGGAGGUCUGGCCCCGUGUUAGACGUCUCCACAGCUCAGUCAAGUGCAAGGCCACACCUUGGAGGUCUGGCCCCAUGUUAGACGUCCACAGCUCAGUCAAGGGCAAGGCCACACCUUGGAGGUCUGGCCCCAUGUUAGACCUCUCCACAGCUCAGUCAAGUGCAAGGCCACACUUUGCACGUACACACUUGGAAACUUAUAAUGCCUGUGCCCACGUGAUAGCUUCUGAAGGCGUUUUAACUAAGCUCUCUGUUUAACUUUAUUUUGCCUGGGUUUCCCAACUGACAUGGUCAGGAGCCGCUCUCCCGGCAUUAUUGUCCAGGGUUCUGGGGCACAUUCACUGGACAACAUUAUUCUGGAUGGAUUUCUGAGAAUCCCGAGGUAUAAAUUCUGCUUGCAUUUUUUUUUUUUUUUACAUUUUGUCCUGGGUUCUGGCUUUCUUUCUGUUUCAUUUUUUGCUUCAUCCAAGGGAAGAACACGGAAAGCCAAGAUUUCUCUCAAAACAGAUAUUCGCACCCAAAGGCGGCCAAGGCUGUGCCAAUCACAUUUACCGAUUAAGACCCCAGCACACAGCCGAGGCAAAAAAAACAAA
Oryctolagus cuniculus (rabbit) is the source of this 2401-nucleotide non-coding RNA. Lineage: Eukaryota; Metazoa; Chordata; Mammalia; Lagomorpha; Leporidae. The record is from RefSeq and is a predicted model, not a curated record.